UAACACAUGCAAGUCGAGCGGAAACGAGUUGUCUGAACCUUCGGGGAACGAUAACGGCGUCGAGCGGCGGACGGGUGAGUAAUGCCUGGGAAAUUGCCCUGAUGUGGGGGAUAACCAUUGGAAACGAUGGCUAAUACCGCAUAAUAGCUUCGGCUCAAAGAGGGGGACCUUCGGGCCUCUCGCGUCAGGAUAUGCCCAGGUGGGAUUAGCUAGUUGGUGAGGUAAUGGCUCACCAAGGCGACGAUCCCUAGCUGGUCUGAGAGGAUGAUCAGCCACACUGGAACUGAGACACGGUCCAGACUCCUACGGGAGGCAGCAGUGGGGAAUAUUGCACAAUGGGCGCAAGCCUGAUGCAGCCAUGCCGCGUGUAUGAAGAAGGCCUUCGGGUUGUAAAGUACUUUCAGCAGUGAGGAAGGUUCAUGCGUUAAUAGCGUAUGGAUUUGACGUUAGCUGCAGAAGAAGCACCGGCUAACUCCGUGCCAGCAGCCGCGGUAAUACGGAGGGUGCGAGCGUUAAUCGGAAUUACUGGGCGUAAAGCGCAUGCAGGUGGUUUGUUAAGUCAGAUGUGAAAGCCCGGGGCUCAACCUCGGAAUAGCAUUUGAAACUGGCAGACUAGAGUACUGUAGAGGGGGGUAGAAUUUCAGGUGUAGCGGUGAAAUGCGUAGAGAUCUGAAGGAAUACCGGUGGCGAAGGCGGCCCCCUGGACAGAUACUGACACUCAGA
This 723-nucleotide ribosomal RNA is filed under the name Vibrio sp. TAV24. RNAcentral's name for it is "bacterial SSU rRNA". It matches the Rfam family "Bacterial small subunit ribosomal RNA", at positions 49 to 751 of the family's 1533-position model. The record is from RNAcentral. Lineage: Bacteria; Pseudomonadati; Pseudomonadota; Gammaproteobacteria; Vibrionales; Vibrionaceae.